RNAcentral lists this ribosomal RNA (289 nucleotides) under uncultured Bradyrhizobium sp. RNAcentral describes it as "partial 16S ribosomal RNA". Lineage: Bacteria; Pseudomonadati; Pseudomonadota; Alphaproteobacteria; Hyphomicrobiales; Nitrobacteraceae. The record is from RNAcentral.
CUACUGGGGUAUCUAAUCCUGUUUGCUCCCCACGCUUUCGUGCCUCAGCGUCAGUAUCGGGCCAGUGAGCCGCCUUCGCCACUGGUGUUCUUGCGAAUAUCUACGAAUUUCACCUCUACACUCGCAGUUCCACUCACCUCUCCCGAACUCAAGAUCUUCAGUAUCAAAGGCAGUUCUGGAGUUGAGCUCCAGGAUUUCACCCCUGACUUAAAGACCCGCCUACGCACCCUUUACGCCCAGUGAUUCCGAGCAACGCUAGCCCCCUUCGUAUUACCGCGGCUGCUGGCAC